RNAcentral lists this ribosomal RNA (370 nucleotides) under uncultured organism. Its description in RNAcentral is "partial 16S ribosomal RNA". It matches the Rfam family "Bacterial small subunit ribosomal RNA", at positions 527 to 896 of the family's 1533-position model. The record is from RNAcentral.
GGAAGGUCCGGGCGCUAUCCGGAUUUAUUGGGUUUAAAGGGAGCGUAGGCCGCUUUGUAAGCGUGUUGUGAAAUUUGCCGGCUCAACCGGUAACUUGCAGCGCGAACUGCAGAGCUUGAGUGUGCGCAACGUUGGCGGAAUUCGUCGUGUAGCGGUGAAAUGCUUAGAUAUGACGAAGAACUCCGAUUGCGAAGGCAGCUGACGGGAGCACUACUGACGCUGAAGCUCGAAAGUGCGGGGGUAUCGAACAGGAUUAGAUACCCUGGUAGUCCGCACGGUAAACGAUGGAUGCCCCGCUGUUUGCACAUAGUUGCAAGCGGCCAAGCGAAAGCGUUAAGCAUCCCCACCUGGGAGUACGCCGGCAACGGUG